Molecule: long non-coding RNA, 3347 nt
Organism: Solanum pennellii
Lineage: Eukaryota; Viridiplantae; Streptophyta; Magnoliopsida; Solanales; Solanaceae
Exons: 13
Source: RefSeq, a predicted model, not a curated record
CAACGGAAGAAUAAGAACUUACUACAUACGCCGCCGGCGGAGUACGCCGCCGGAACUGUCCGAUCAAAGCCCUAAGUCAAUCUCUCGCACAAUAUUAGAAGAAAGUGAGGAGGACCUACUUUGAACACGUGCAUAUCCUUCUCCAUUGCGACUAUUUUCCAGUGGGUUUGGGAUUCCUCUGAGUUCCCUUAAUCAAAUUGAAUGCAGGCGAUGGUUCAUUCAAGCUCUCAGGUUACCUGAUGUUUACACAGUGAAGGUCCUUCAAUUUUUGUAUAUCAAUUCAAGAUUUGUUUGCAAAGGACCAAUACAUAAAUUACUCAAUAACAUAACGACGAGUUUUGACAGUGCUUCUGAAACUUGCUGAGACAGCUGGAUCGUCAACCGUAUCCUAUCAGUGAAUCAGGUCCUGAAUGGCUUGCAGAAGUGAAAGGAAAAUUGCAUUGUAGGAAAUAUCUGAGUUGGAACUCCAUUUAAUGGUAUGUUUAAGAGAAAAUUGCAAUUAUUAAUGAUAUCUUUUCAUUUGUUAGAAGCUCAUGGCUGACCGACUACUAUCCCUCUUGUCAACAUGAGAAAAUUUCAAAGUUAGGUUCGUGGAGUAGGAGUUCUGAGGAUAUUUCCUGUCUGGUUUACUUCUAAAGCUGUAUUUUGAUUUGAUUGAUCAUUUGGUUUGGUUAUAUAAUCUCUCUUGUAUUCUCCGAAAGAGUCUCCGCUAAGAAUUUCCCUUGCACAUCCCUGUUGCUCCUUCAAUAUUUUUGAUACUGAAAGUGGUCCGUCUUUGAUACACCAGCUAACUUGAGGACGAUUCAGGUCUGGUUUUUUCCAUUUUGUUCAUUUUCUUAUGGUGAGGAUGACCUGAUUUGCACACGUGCUUCUUCUUCUCAUUGCUGCUGUUGUCCAGUGGGUAUUCCUCCAAGUUCCCUUAACAAAUUCAAUUCAAGCAUAGGGGCAUUCAAGCUUUCAGGAUACAUCUCAGGUCCUGAUGUUUACACAGUGGAAGUAUACAUGCAUGGAUAAAGAGCUGUUAUAAGUAUCAAUUCAAGAUUUGUUUCCAAAAAGGACCAGUACAAGAAUCACUUAAUAACAUAGCUAUGAGUUUGGACAGUGCUUCUGACAUUGAGCAGCGAAGUAGAUAUAUUCACUGUUUCUGUUGAACCUAAACUACCCAAGAUAAAUUUGUUUUGAUCCGACUUUGUGGAACCUAGAUGAUAUGCAUGCUUUCCCUGCAAGCUUUGGCCUUAAAGGAGAGGCUCUGGGCUCCACUUCUGAUGUUUCUUUGUUGGAAAUUGUUACUAAAAGUCACGGGAGGCCAGAUGGAUAUCGUAAUUUUUUGAAGGGCAGAUUUUGUAGACAAGAUGUUGGUGCAACAGGGAAUUAUGUAUAAGCCUAUCUCAUACAGGAGUUGAUUGUUGUUUGCUAGUAAGGAAAUUUGUUGAGAUUUUUCUCUUUGCGGUUGUUGUUCAUGAUGUAGUUUUACAACCAACUAGUUCGAAGGAACCAAAUGCACUCCAAGUACUUCUAGUAUGCUCACAAUUCAAACAAAUAAAAAUAUUGAUUUACUUACUUUACUUCUAAAGCUAUAUUGAUCUUUUAGUUUUCAUAUAUAAUCUUGAAGCCCAAAGAAGGUCUUGCUUUCUCUUAAAGUGUCUCUGCUAAAAAUCUCCCUUGUGCAUUCCAGUAUCUCCUUCAAAAUUGUUGAUAUUGAAAGGUGUGUAUGUUGUACCACUAACUUUAGGUUUCUACCUAUCUGGUUUCUUACAUUUUGUUGUUCAUUUGCAUGUCGUGAGGAUGACCUGCUUUGCACACAUGCUUCUCCUUCCCCAUUGCCGCUAUUGUCUAGUAUAACGGCCCAAAUUGAUGGAUAAAAGAUGUGGAAAAGGAGGUUCGGGCUCAGAGUUGCAAAGCUUCACUUUCUUCCCUGCAGCCAAAGAAACUUACUGGAGAGUGCAUUCAGUAGAGAGAUUCAAUCUUCACAGAAUAUUCUGUGCAGAAGUGCUUCUGAAAAGCAUGAUCCGGAGUCCAGAUUCCUCUGUCAGAGCAAAAGUUCAAGUCGAUCAAUUGGCUCUCCUGCUCAUUGCACAGCUGGCGUGAACUGGAGGAAAUCCAAAAGCUCUGUGCAACCCCUUUCAUCUAAUAUUUUACCUAGAGAGGAUGAUUUCCUGGAUAACAAAUUCAGUGCUUCAGCUAGAUCCAAUUAUAAAUCUGACUGUGAGGCAGGUUCAUGAUGGGAGGAUAUGAUUUUCAAACAAUUGUAGCUGGCAGUUCAAGAGAGGAUGCUUAUUUAGGGUAUCACUUGAACUUGAUGACAGUUAAAUGUGAUGCAUGAGAGAAGGAAAACAUUUAUGUGGAGCUGUUCUUAAUUUGCACAAAAGCCUGAAACGUGAUGGAUCAUCUCUUGAUAGUGAUGAAGAUCUUAAGUUCGAUAAAAGUAACUAUAGAAAUAAUCAAAAUCACCCUGAAGAUGAUUAUAGUGUUGAAUUUGAAGUUGCUGAUGAUGUUAACCUUGUCUUAAAUCUAAUGUCUCCUAGAGUCGAGGAAAUAUAUUUUGAGAAACUUCUCCUGGUUAGAAACUCAGAGCAAGGCAUUGGAGAGGCUAAAAUUUGCCUGGAGAUUCAGAAAAACUUUAUUAACCAAGAACAUUCUGGAUAAAGAUGAUCAUCUUAUGAAUUUCAUUAGACAGAACAAAAAUUAUGGUUCUGGCCUGCUAUCUUUUAGUCCAGAACUGUCUCCUCUGCCACCAGAUCCUUUGCUCGUGACCAGGUUUCAACAUUCAUUGUCAAGCUUCAAUAUCAUUUAUCAGGGGAGAAAAUCAGUAAUGGGGAAAAAGAAAAAAGGAAGUUAUAAGGAAGCUCUUCAAAUAAGCAGAUGGCCCCCUAAUGAACUUCAAUCAGUUCCAGAGAGUAGCACCAAUGGAGACAAGGAUUCUCUGAGGAGAAGUCUGGUUGGCAGCUUCCCAGAUUGCGAUGAGAUACCUUCUCGUAAAAAUGUUAGAAAAGCCGCGCAGAACACAUGGAGUGGCAUCCACAACAUACAAGUAUUUUAGUUGGUAAUACCCACUGGGAUAAGGUAUAAGACUACUAAUUUGGUCUUCGUUUUUUCCAUUGUUUACAGGAAGGGGCAAGUGUUUCUACCUUGGAAUUGAUGAAUGUAGACAAAAUGUUGGUACAACAGCUAAUUCUGCAUAAGCCUACCUCCAAACAAAGAGAGUCUUGCAUUCUCUGAAAGAGUCUUUACUAAGAAUCGCCCUUGUGCACUCCUACAAAUUUGUUGAUAUUGAAAGGUCCUUCUUUGUUAUUGCAGCUAACUUAAGGAUAUUUCCUGUUUAGUUUCUUUUGAUUUUGUCCAUUUGC